GUAGGGUGCAGGCGUUAAUCGGAAUUACUGGGCGUAAAGCGUGCGCAGGCGGUUUGUUAAGACAGGUGUGAAAUCCCCGGGCUUAACCUGGGAACUGCGCUUGUUACUGGCAGACUUGAGUGUGGCAGAGGGGGGUGGAAUUCCAGGUGUAGCAGUGAAAUGCGUAGAGAUCUGGAGGAACACCAAUGGCGAAGGCAGCCCCCUGGGUUAACACUGACGCUCAUGCACGAAAGCGUGGGGAGCAAACAGGAUUAGAUACCCUGGUAGUCCACGCCCUAAACUAUGUCAACUGGUUGUCGGGGAAGCAAUUCCUUGGUAACGAAGCUAACGCGUGAAGUUGACCGCCUGGGGAGUACGGCCGCAAGGUUA
RNAcentral lists this ribosomal RNA (369 nucleotides) under uncultured bacterium. RNAcentral describes it as "bacterial SSU rRNA". It matches the Rfam family "Bacterial small subunit ribosomal RNA", at positions 527 to 896 of the family's 1533-position model. The record is from RNAcentral.